This 395-nucleotide ribosomal RNA is filed under the name Centruroides limpidus. RNAcentral's name for it is "partial 16S ribosomal RNA". It matches the Rfam family "Archaeal large subunit ribosomal RNA", at positions 2030 to 2669 of the family's 2987-position model. Lineage: Eukaryota; Metazoa; Arthropoda; Arachnida; Scorpiones; Buthidae. The record is from RNAcentral.
AAAAGUGCAUAUCCAUAGUCUUGUAAUUUAAGACUGGGAUGAAAGGGAUAACCUAGGGAGUUUCUUUCUUAGCUUUUCCUUUAGAAUUUUACUUUUUAGUAAAAAGGCUUAAAAUGUUCUUUUAGCAAGAAGCCCUAUAAAGCUUUACAUAUAAUAAUUUGAGAAAUUAAAGCCCAUGUUCACUGGGCGGUGGGAAGGAAAACGCUUUCAUAAUAUUUAAAUAAAAUCAUUUCCAAUACCCCAAAAAUUUUGAAGCUUAAAUAAGCUACUUUAGGGAUAACAGCCGUAAUGUGUUUUGAAAGCUCAAAUUGACAAACAUGUUUGCGACCUCGAUGUUGGAUUAAACUUCCCUCAUUCCGCAAGAGGAAGAAUUGGUCUGUCGCCCAAAAAGUCCA